Sander lucioperca (pikeperch) is the source of this 134-nucleotide long non-coding RNA. RefSeq lists it as uncharacterized. NCBI's taxonomy places the organism in Eukaryota, Metazoa, Chordata, Actinopteri, Perciformes, Percidae. The record is from RefSeq and is a predicted model, not a curated record. The transcript has 2 exons.
UGGAGUCUGGUGGGUUUGGUGAUGGUGAUUUCGGGGCUGUUUCCUUUUAAAGGUGCCGUGCCACACGUAUAUUUCAUGACUUUGUGGUAAAGUCUGAAGUUCUACCAUGGACUCUGUAACCUUGGUUACCUUGU